This 253-nucleotide ribosomal RNA is filed under the name uncultured bacterium. RNAcentral's name for it is "partial 16S ribosomal RNA". It matches the Rfam family "Bacterial small subunit ribosomal RNA", at positions 524 to 776 of the family's 1533-position model. The record is from RNAcentral.
UACGGAGGGUGCAACCGUUGCUCGGAAUCAUUGGGCGUAAAGCGCACGUAGGCGGACCGCUAAGUCGGAUGUGAAAGCCCUCGGCUUAACCGAGGAAGUGCAUUCGAAACUGACGGUCUUGAUUAUGGAAGAGGGUCGCGGAAUUCCCGGUGUAGAGGUGAAAUUCGUAGAUAUCGGGAGGAACACCAGUGGCGAAGGCGGCGACCUGGGCCAAUACUGACGCUGAGGUGCGAAAGCGUGGGGAGCAAACAGG